AUUGAACGCUGGCGGCAUGCCUUACACAUGCAAGUCGAACGGCAGCACGGGAGCAAUCCUGGUGGCGAGUGGCGAACGGGUGAGUAAUACAUCGGAACGUGCCCAAUCGUGGGGGAUAACGCAGCGAAAGCUGUGCUAAUACCGCAUACGAUCUACGGAUGAAAGCAGGGGAUCGCAAGACCUUGCGCGAAUGGAGCGGCCGAUGGCAGAUUAGGUAGUUGGUGAGGUAAAGGCUCACCAAGCCGUCGAUCUGUAGCUGGUCUGAGAGGACGACCAGCCACACUGGGACUGAGACACGGCCCAGACUCCUACGGGAGGCAGCAGUGGGGAAUUUUGGACAAUGGGCGAAAGCCUGAUCCAGCCAUGCCGCGUGCAGGAUGAAGGCCUUCGGGUUGUAAACUGCUUUCAGCAGGGACGAGGCGAUAAGUGACGGUACCUGCAGAAGAAGCCCCGGCUAACUACGUGCCAGCAGCCGCGGUAAUACGUAGGGGGCAAGCGUUAUCCGGAUUCAUUGGGCGUAAAGCGCUCGUAGGCGGUCUGUUAGGUCGGGAGUUAAAUCCGGAGGCUCAACCUCCGCCCGCUCCCGAUACCGGCAGACUUGAGUUUGGUAGGGGAAGGUGGAAUUCCUAGUGUAGCGGUGGAAUGCGCAGAUAUUAGGAAGAACACCAGUGGCGAAGGCGGCCUUCUGGGCCAUAACUGACGCUGAGGAGCGAAAGCUAGGGGAGCAAACAGG
Molecule: ribosomal RNA, 733 nt
Filed under: uncultured Comamonadaceae bacterium
Lineage: Bacteria; Pseudomonadati; Pseudomonadota; Betaproteobacteria; Burkholderiales; Comamonadaceae
Description: bacterial SSU rRNA
Rfam family: Bacterial small subunit ribosomal RNA
Source: RNAcentral